RNAcentral lists this unclassified non-coding RNA (3391 nucleotides) under Apis florea (little honeybee). RNAcentral's name for it is "bone morphogenetic protein 1, transcript variant X10". Lineage: Eukaryota; Metazoa; Arthropoda; Insecta; Hymenoptera; Apidae. The record is from RNAcentral.
AUACUAGGUAGCCAGUACCUUCGUAGAAGUUGACCGUUUAAGAAUUGUUUAACGUUACGCUUAUUGCACCGUUCCGUCAAUUUUUCCUCAGUUUUUUUUUUAUUUCGUCGAUUACUUGCCGAUCUUGUGCAUAAAUAUUUAUCCGUAUAUUUACACGCAAUAUAUUAUAUACCGGCACGUAUCAAGUACCUGUCUUACUAUUCUUAAUUAUAAUUUAAUUUUCAAAACGAUAUCGUGUUCAUUUUAUAUUUACGUAUUAUCAGAUGUAACGAUAAUUUAAAAAAUCGUGACAGUAUGAAUCCUAUAAAAGAAAUUCAAUGUAUAAUAAGCGCGUUUUCGAUACAUAAGUGCAUUAUUUUUUUAUCCUCAAUUAUCUUUUCACGCUUCAAUGUGUCAUUUCAAAAAUAUUGUCGUGUGUAAUAUGUAAUAUAAGAUGUAUAUACGUAUAUAUUGUACUUUCAAAUGAAACAAAAAGAAACGAACAUUUAUAACGAACAACAUUGAAGAAUUUAAUCCUAUAAAUUUAAUGUGUUGGAAUAUCAAGAAUAAAAUUUCAAAUUUGAACACAGUUUUUUAAGAUGAUUUCCAGAAUCAAUGUUUCGCAUUUUUUCUAUGCGUGGAAUAGAGACUGACGAUAUGAUAAAAUCACAGUGGCCGCUGUUAAUGGUUUCUCUACAAUUUUAUUAUAAUAAACAAGAAAAAUAUAGUGGUUUCGAUCGAAUCACUGAUUGAACAAAAUGCAAAUGUGUAUUCUUAGGAUAUAGUAUGGCUUCGGUAUUUUGGCAUGUCUCUGGGAAUAAUUUGAUUUCUGCUACUUUUAUCUUGCUCUUGCUACUUUGUCCUCACAGUAGUACAGAGUGCGAUCAAAAGUUUAUAAGCACACCUGAUGGACCACCGAAUGGAACAUUUCACGCGCCAACGUUAAUUAAUUACGACGGAGAUUCCCGACAAUGCGUAUACACAUUUUUUGCUGGACCACGACAACGUGUCGAAUUGAUAUUUAAUUCGUUCGGCCUUCGGGGAACACCUCCAGAUGGAUCUGCUGUUGGAGAAUUACCCGCUUGUGUCCACGAAUAUCUGGAUGUAUAUGCUGAAAUACGAUCGGAGAAUACCAGCAAAUUGGUGGAAACGCCUUUCGGUGGUCGUUUCUGUGGCCCGAUUCCACCUCGUAGGCGUGUUUCUCUUUACCAGGGAAUUGCUCUAAGUUUUUACACUGAUAAAAAUAUUACGUUACCUACCCUGUUCAGCGGUACUUAUGCCUUUAUCAAUUCAUCUGAAUACGAGGUGGGAACACCAGCUCCCAGCACACCAUGCUCUUUCACAGUAGAUUCGGAACAUAAACGCAAUGGUAAUAUAUUAUCUCCUACGUAUCCUGGCACAUAUCCAAAGGGUAUUAUAUGCAGUUAUCAAUUUAUCGGGAAUAAAUCGCAACGAGUGAGGCUCGAGUUCCGGGACUUUGAUUUGUUCUUCGGAGGUCAACAUUGUCCUUUGGAUUACGUAAAAGUGUACGACGGUUUAAACGAUACGUCGGCGGUUAUAGGGACUUACUGUGGUCAACAACGAAAUUUGGUGUUGUACUCGUCGGAAUCAAGUUUGUACGUGCUGUUUGUUACCCUUCAACGUACGGCCAAUACGCAAAAUCGUGGAUUCAAGGGCAUCUUUGAAUUCUCGGAGAGUUUUGUUAAAUUAGACUUCAUAACCGCUAACAAGGGUGAGCACAUACGAGGAUCGGAAUGUGAUCAGAAGAUUUUAAGUAAAAAGGAAUCGUCUGGACAAGUUGUUAGCCCAAACUUUCCAUUUCCGUACAUACCGAAGGUCGUGUGUCGGUAUUUCAUUUAUGGAAUGCAAGAUUCGCAGCAUCUCGAGCGUGUUCGAUUAGAGUUCAUAACAUUUAAUAUACCAAAGAAUAAGACGAUAGGAGAUUCAUCUUGUACCGAUGGAUAUUUAAAAUUAUACUUAAAAGGGCAAGAAGCGACGGAUUCUUAUGACAAAUUUGAUUACGAAUUGUGCGGCGUGAAGAGCAAUCCGAACCAUGUAGUUAGUGAUGGGCCGAGACUUGUGAUGGUGUUUAGCAGCGGGGAAUCUCAAGGGCAAGGUUUUAAAGCACGGUACACCUUUGAAACGGAAUACAAAAUACCGGGCACCGCUGCACCCGAUGGCAGCUGUACAUUCACAUACCGCAGUUCCUCUCGCAAAAGAGGAGAUUUUAAUUCUCCUCGACAUCCUAGUAAUUAUCCAAGCGAUACAAAUUGCACAUAUUUAUUCUUAGCGACGCCAAACGAGCAAGUUACCUUAAUAUUCGAUUAUUUUAAAGUUCGAACGAAAAAUAUGAACAUGACGGAUGGACAUUAUGGAAUGGAAAUUUGUCAAGAUGAUUGGUUGGAAAUAUAUAAUAUGUAUCGGGACAAUACGGAAAAAUUGAUAGGUAGAUACUGUGGUAACACGGCGCCAGGACCUGUCGAGUCGACUCUUGGUGCUCUCGGUUUAAGAGUAAUUCUGCAUUCGGACUCGGAACUGGUUUAUAGCGGUUUUAAAGCGCGUUACACGUUCGAAGUGGCGAAACCUAUAUUUGGAGAUUGCGGAUCGAAUAUAAGUAGUGUGAAUUAUGGUAUUAUCGCCAGUCCGAAUUUUCCAAACAAGUACGAUGGACCAGCGAGAAAUAUGGCAAGUAAAACUUGCAAUUGGUUUAUAAGAGUUCGACCGAAUCAACGAAUAUUGUUAAAUUUUGAAUCGUUCUCGGUAGAGGGUGAUCAAUCAGUUCGUGGUUGUCCAGCUGCGGUGCUGCGCAUGUGGUAUUCCGUAUCGUCCACGCCUAUCGAGUUAUGCGGCGUGAAAACGUCAGAUAAAUGGACUUAUCUUUCUGAGGAUAACAACAUGCGACUUAGCUUUAUAUUAGCCGACAAAGCGGUUGGACAACUGGGAUUUAAGGCAAUAUGGACGGAAGUAAGCACAAAUACCGACUGCCAGAAUCAAUUUUUGUGCAGCAAAAAUAAAUACUGCAUUGCAGAAUCGCUUCGAUGUAAUGAGGUUUAUAAUUGUGGCCCAGCUGAUGAUUCGGAUGAAGAAAAUUGUAAGUAAUAGGUAGCUGUGUGUAUAGGUGAAAGAAUGGAGAGAUUGCGUGGGUGAAUGACUGUGUGUGGUGUCGCAGGUGCAGCAUCAGCCCCAUUGUCACCAGCACUGGCUGGAGUCUCUGCCAUGCUUCUUCUCUCUCUGUGCUUUGUGUUCGUGGCCAUCUGAGCCCUUCAUGAAGCUUCCGACGAUCCGGCAUGUUAUGAUCUCCCCUAUCACGUAAUACAGUUGUACAGAAAAAUAAUUACGCUGUUCCUGCGGGUUAUACCAUCGGUGCUGUAUUAAUAGCAUUGAUCGUUUGUCUUUUUUGUCAUCGGAAGCU